UGGUGGAUUUCUUUGAAUUCACAUUGCCU
RNAcentral lists this non-coding RNA (29 nucleotides) under Rattus norvegicus (Norway rat). Lineage: Eukaryota; Metazoa; Chordata; Mammalia; Rodentia; Muridae. The record is from RNAcentral.